GGUGUCGUUACUGUUGGCUAGACGUAUGCAAACAGAGGCACACGUUUUUACUAUAAAGUGAGUUACUGAGAUUACGGGUUGUUCUUUCAGUUACUCUUUCAGCUCCACUGGCUGAGCGAGCGGGAGGAGCAGCAGUGGCACGAGGGCCGGAGCUGUUGCGUGGGUCUGGGAGCCCAGAUUCUCAUCCCGGUACAGCCUGUCCUGCAGCCUUUCGGGGGGAUGUCCCUGCAGCAGCGCGCCGGGGAAGGGAGGAGAAAUCUCCUGGCGCUGCUAGGGUGCAGGAACGGAGGAGAGCCUGAGUGGGAGGCGAGGCGCCAUCCUUGGGUACGCUGCCCUUGUGCCACGGGGCGGCCGCUGGCCUCUGGGACAGGAGCGGGGGGGAAGGGAUUUCAACCUUUUGGGGGGGUUGUCUAGCAGAGCCCUCUUUUUUGAGGGGUAAAGUACAUAUGCCAGCGGUAUUAUUAAAGCAACGUGCUGCUGUCCAGGGCAGUUUAACUUGUUCUGUGGAACGUGCUGGGAGCAAGUGCCAGGUAACCGCGGGGAAGUCGUGGUGAAGUCCGAGGGCUCUUGCUCUCAGGGCCUGGGGGUGGGCGGGGUCUCUCUGGGGAGCUCUAGCGGUUCAUAAUGGUUAAUUUGUUUAGCUGUUGUCUGAAGAGUAAUGUAUUAAAUCUGUUCAAGUUUCUAUUGGUAUGCUGUGAAAAAUUGGUAUUCUUUUGCCCAUGGGACUUUGGCCAGACUUCUGAAGAGGUAAAAUAAGCACUUAGAUUGCUCCAGAUACGUAAUUUCUUCAGCUGAGGAACGAAUACGUGAAUUUCUUCAGUUGAGGAAGAAACUGAAGCGGGAGCAGAAUGCCAGGCUGCAGCAACAGAGGGAGUGUUCGAAGGAGCGCAGCUUGGAGGUGGCAGUGCUGGAGAGGCGUGUUAGUGAGUUGCCAGAGCGCCUGGGGAAGAGAAAGGCAGCUCUGCCACAGGAAGAGAAUGUACCGGUUUCUUCAGAUGGGAAUUCCCCACAGCCAGUGGCUUCUGCUCCGGUCGAGUGGCAGCAGUAGGUCCUUCUAUCCAGUCCUCUGCUAUGCCAUGUAUUGCUUCCAGACCUGAACUUUGGGUGAAAGCAGCAUUCUCAGGUGGGACACGAGCCUCGCCGGGCAGGGGAGGGUCUGCUAAAAUCACAAACUCUGCCCAGCGUGGGAGAUGGGAACUGUUCACAAGCUAAAGGUCCUGCAGGUAAGAGCUUACAAUUAAUAGUUCUUAUACGGAUGUGUUUUGGUUCACUUCACAGCUCUGUUUUGGUGUUUUGGGUUUUUUUUCUAUUUGUUUUUAAAGCAAAGACUUAUUUGCAAUGUGGGUCUCACUACUUGCAAUCAUUUUUUUCUCUGCCAGUGAAUACGUUUGAUAAGCACUGAGGUUCUACGAUUCAGUUGUUCUAAAUUAAGGAAUUCUCUUAGUGAGCAAUUUGAGUUGUUAGACAGCGCAGACUGCAGAAGCAUUUUUCGGUAAACGGAUUGUUUUUUAGUUUAUUUUAAAGCUCUCCUAAAAACUCUACACCGGCGUGUGUUCGCUGGACCUGCCAGGGGGCUGCAGGGAGAAGCAGCUGGGGGGGGUUUGCUCUCUGCCCCUUUCCCACCUUCCCC
This is a long non-coding RNA of Lepidothrix coronata (blue-crowned manakin), 1630 nucleotides long. Lineage: Eukaryota; Metazoa; Chordata; Aves; Passeriformes; Pipridae. The record is from Ensembl.